GACGAAUGCUGGCGGCGUGCUUAACACAUGCAAGUCGAGCGAGGCCCCUCCUUCGGGAGGGUGUCCUAGCGGCGAACGGGUGAGUAACACGUGGGCAACCUGCCCUCAGCUCUGGGAUAACUCCGGGAAACCGGGGCUAAUACCGGAUACGACCUCCACGGGCAUCUGCGGAGGUGGAAAGUUUUUCGGCUGAGGAUGGGCCCGCGGCCUAUCAGCUAGUUGGUGGGGUAGUGGCCCACCAAGGCGACGACGGGUAGCCGGCCUGAGAGGGCGACCGGCCACACUGGGACUGAGACACGGCCCAGACUCCUACGGGAGGCAGCAGUGGGGAAUAUUGCGCAAUGGGCGAAAGCCUGACGCAGCGACGCCGCGUGAGGGACGAAGGCCUUCGGGUUGUAAACCUCUUUCAGCAGGGACGGAGCGAAAGUGACGGUACCUGCAGAAGAAGCACCGGCCAACUACGUG
Molecule: ribosomal RNA, 465 nt
Filed under: uncultured bacterium
Lineage: Bacteria
Description: partial 16S ribosomal RNA
Rfam family: Bacterial small subunit ribosomal RNA
Source: RNAcentral